CUUGACAUGUUAGAAGUAGGAACCCAAAGGGGGACGACCAGUAUCCAAUCUGGAGCUAACACAGGUGCUGCAUGGCUGUCGUCAGCUCGUGCCGUGAGGUGUAUGGUUAAGUCCCACAAUGAGCGCAACCCUCGUCGCUAGUAAUUUCCCUAGCGAGACCGCCUCGCAAAACGAGGAGGAAGGCGGGGAUGGCGUCAAGUCAGCAUGGCCUUUAUACCCUGGGCGACACACACGCUACAAUGGGUGGUACAGUAGGUAGCGAAGGAGCGAUCCGGAGCAAAUCCUUAAAACCAUCCUCAGUACGGAUUGCAGGCUGAAACCCGCCUGCAUGAAGCCGGAGUUGCUAGUAACCGCAUAUCAGCAUGGUGCGGUGAAUACGUUCUCGGGCCUU
Molecule: ribosomal RNA, 391 nt
Filed under: uncultured Chloroflexota bacterium
Lineage: Bacteria; Bacillati; Chloroflexota
Description: bacterial SSU rRNA
Rfam family: Bacterial small subunit ribosomal RNA
Source: RNAcentral